AUACGGAAGGUGCAAGCGUUAAUCGGAAUCACUGGGCGUAAAGCGCUCGUAGGUGGCUUUGUAAGUCAGGUGUGAAAGCCCACGGCUCAACCGUGGAAUUGCACUUGAUACUGCAUUGCUUGAGUUCGGGAGAGGGUAGUGGAAUUCCAGGUGUAGGAGUGAAAUCCGUAGAGAUCUGGAGGAACACCAGUGGCGAAGGCGGCUUACUGGACUGUAACUGACGUUGAGGCUCGAAAGCGUGGGGAGC
This 247-nucleotide ribosomal RNA is filed under the name uncultured bacterium. RNAcentral describes it as "partial 16S ribosomal RNA". It matches the Rfam family "Bacterial small subunit ribosomal RNA", at positions 523 to 769 of the family's 1533-position model. The record is from RNAcentral.